This 253-nucleotide ribosomal RNA is filed under the name uncultured bacterium. RNAcentral's name for it is "partial 16S ribosomal RNA". It matches the Rfam family "Bacterial small subunit ribosomal RNA", at positions 524 to 776 of the family's 1533-position model. The record is from RNAcentral.
UACGUAGGGGGCUAGCGUUGUUCGGAAUCACUGGGCGUAAAGCGCGUGUAGGCGGCUAAGUAAGUCGGGUGUGAAAGCCCUCAGCUCAACUGAGGAAGUGCGCCCGAAACUGCUUGGCUUGAGCGCCGGAGAGGAUGGCGGAAUACCCCAAGUAGAGGUGAAAUUCGUAGAUAUGGGGUGGAACACCGGUGGCGAAGGCGGCCAUCUGGACGGUAACUGACGCUGAGACGCGAAAGCGUGGGUAGCAAACAGG